This 494-nucleotide ribosomal RNA is filed under the name uncultured bacterium. Its description in RNAcentral is "partial 16S ribosomal RNA". It matches the Rfam family "Bacterial small subunit ribosomal RNA", at positions 28 to 507 of the family's 1533-position model. The record is from RNAcentral.
GACGAACGCUGGCGGCGCGCUUAACACAUGCAAGUCGAACGGAAAGGCCUGCUUUCCCUUGUGGAUUGCGGGUACUCGAGUGGCGAACGGGUGAGUAACACGUGAGUGAUCUGCCCCCAACUUGGGUAUAAGCCUGGGAAACUGGGUCUAAUUCCCGAUAGGACUGCAGGGUGGUGCCUGUGGUGGAAAACGAUUUUCUAGUGGUUGGGGAUGAGCUCGCGGCCUAUCAGCUUGUUGGUGGGGUAAUGGCCUACCAAGGCGGCGACGGGUAGCCGGCCUGAGAGAGUGGACGGCCACAUGGGGACUGAGAUACGGCCCAGACUCCUACGGGAGGCAGCAGUGGGGAAUAUUGCACAAUGGGCGGAAGCCUGAGGCAGCGACGCCGCGUGGGGGAUGACGGCCUUCGGGUUGUAAACUCCUUUCGACCGCGAGGAAGCCACCUGGUUGGAAGGGUGGUGACGGUAGUGGUAGAAGAAGCACCGGCUAACUACGUG